GCCCCACCCACCUAGAGGAGCCUGUUCUAUAAUCGAUAACCCCCGCUUAACCUCACCACUUCUUGCCAAUACCGCCUAUAUACCACCGUCGCCAGCCCACCCCGUGAGGGAAAUAGUAGGCACAAUGAUAAGUCACCAAAACGUCAGGUCAAGGUGUAGCGUAUGAAAUGGAAAGAAAUGGGCUACAUUCUCUAACCUAGAGCACACGAAAAAUCAUAUGAAAUUAGAUUAGAAGGAGGAUUUAGUAGUAAAAAGAAACAAUAGUGUUCUUUUUAAGUUGGCCCUGGGGCGCGCACACACCGCCCGUCACCCUCUUCAACUAAUAAAACACGAUUUAUAAAACACAAAACAAACACAAGAAGAGGUAAGUCGUAACAUGGUAAGUAUACCGGAAGGUGUGCUUGGAAUUA
This 410-nucleotide ribosomal RNA is filed under the name Bombina orientalis. Its description in RNAcentral is "partial 12S ribosomal RNA". It matches the Rfam family "Bacterial small subunit ribosomal RNA", at positions 918 to 1533 of the family's 1533-position model. The record is from RNAcentral. Lineage: Eukaryota; Metazoa; Chordata; Amphibia; Anura; Bombinatoridae.